CUACCAUGGCAAUAACGGGUAACGGAGGAUUAGGGUUCGAUUCCGGAGAGGAAGCCUGAGAAACGGCUACCACAUCUAAGGAUGGCAGCAGGCGCGUAAAUUACCCAAUUCUGAUUCAGAGAGGUAGUGACAAGAAAUAACAGACCGAUACUUUUGUAACGGGGUUGCAAUGAGCCGAAUUUUUCUUCCCUUGGUGAGGAGCAAUUGGAGGGCAAGUCUGGUGCCAGCAGCCGCGGUAAUUCCAGCUCCAAUAGCAUAUAUUAAAGUUGUUGCAGUUAAAAAGCUCGUAGUUGGAUUUCUGUGAGAGUAUGAUGUCCUAACGUGUUUAGAGCGCAGAAAACUCUUGCAUCCUUCUGUUACCUCCACGUGGCAUUCACUUGCCAGUGGUUGGCUCAGAGAAUUUACCUUGAGAAAAUUAGAGUGUUUCAGGCAGGCUAGGCCGGAAUACAUUAGCAUGGAAUAAUAGAAUAGGACUCCGGUCUCGUUGUUGGUUUGAGGGACUAUAGUAAUGAUUAAUAGGGAUAGUUGGGGGCAUUAGUAUUCGAUUGUCAGAGGUGAAAUUCUCAGAUUUAUUGAAGACUAACUUAUGCGAAAGCAUUUGCCAAGGAUGUUUUCAUUAAUCAA
This 624-nucleotide ribosomal RNA is filed under the name Ciliophora sp. RNAcentral describes it as "SSU rRNA". It matches the Rfam family "Eukaryotic small subunit ribosomal RNA", at positions 341 to 980 of the family's 1831-position model. The record is from RNAcentral. Lineage: Eukaryota; Ciliophora.